GUGGGGAAUAUUGGGCAAUGGGGGAAACCCUGACCCAGCAACGCCGCGUGAAGGAAGACGGUUUUCGGAUUGUAAGCUUCUUUUAUCGGGGACGAAAAAAAUGACGGUACCCGAAGAAAAAGCCACGGCUAACUACGUGCCAGCAGCCGCGGUAAUACGUAGGUGGCAAGCGUUGUCCGGAUUUACUGGGUGUAAAGGGCGUGUAGGCGGGACUGCAAGUCAGAUGUGAAAUACCAAGGCUUAACCUUGGGGCUGCAUUUGGAACUGUAGUUCUUGAGUGAUGGAGAGGCAGGCGGAAUUCCUAGUGUAGCGGUGAAAUGCGUAGAUAUUAGGAGGAACACCAGUGGCGAAGGCGGCCUGCUGGACAUUAACUGACGCUGAGGCGCGAAAGCGUGGGGAGCAAACAGGAUUAGAUACCCUAGUAGUCC
Molecule: ribosomal RNA, 428 nt
Filed under: uncultured bacterium
Lineage: Bacteria
Description: partial 16S ribosomal RNA
Rfam family: Bacterial small subunit ribosomal RNA
Source: RNAcentral